This is a long non-coding RNA of Salvelinus sp. IW2-2015, 229 nucleotides long. RefSeq lists it as uncharacterized. The record is from RefSeq and is a predicted model, not a curated record. NCBI's taxonomy places the organism in Eukaryota, Metazoa, Chordata, Actinopteri, Salmoniformes, Salmonidae.
GUUCCAGAGGAAGGGGCGCUGAAACACAAGAGGAUCAUCGAGGUCAAGGACCACCAGUUCACGCGUCGCUUCUUCAAAACAGCCCACCUUCUGCAGCCACUGCACUGACUUCAUCUGGGGAAUUGGAAAGCAGGGAUUUCAAUGUCAAGUGUGCAGUUUCUCUGUCCACAAGCGAUGUCACGAGUAGUAACGUUCACCUGUCCAGGAGCCCCCACUGCUCCUUCAGAAG